GAUGAACGCUAGCGGCAGGCUUAACACAUGCAAGUCGAGGGGCAGCACGGUGUAGCGAUACACUGGUGGCGACCGGCGCACGGGUGAGUAACACGUGUGCAACCAACCCGUCCGGGAGAUAACCCGCGGAAACGUGGACUAACAUCCCAUGAUACUCGAGAGCCGCAUGGCUCUAGAUUUAAAAUUCCGGUGGUACGGACGGGCACGCGCGACAUUAGGUAGUUGGCGGGGUAAGGGCCCACCAAGCCGACGAUGUCUAGGGGUUCUGAGAGGAAGGUCCCCCACACUGGAACUGAGACACGGUCCAG
RNAcentral lists this ribosomal RNA (308 nucleotides) under uncultured bacterium. RNAcentral's name for it is "bacterial SSU rRNA". It matches the Rfam family "Bacterial small subunit ribosomal RNA", at positions 28 to 334 of the family's 1533-position model. The record is from RNAcentral.